CUAACAAGGAUUCCCUUAGUAACUGCGAGUGAAGAGGGAAAAGCUCAAAUUUAAAAUCUGGCAGUGUUUCACUGUCCGAGUUGUAACCUAGAGAAGUGUAACCUGCACUGGACCGUGUAUAAGUCUCCUGGAAUGGAGCAUCACAGAGGGUGAGAAUCCCGUCUUUGACAUGGACCACCAGUGCAUUGUGGUUGUGCUCUCAACGAGUCGAGUUGUUUGGGAAUGCAGCUCUAAAUGGGUGGUAAAUUCCAUCUAAAGCUAAAUAUUGGCGAGAGACCGAUAGCGAACAAGUACCGUGAGGGAAAGAUGAAAAGAACUUUGGAAAGAGAGUUAAACAGUAUGUGAAAUUGUUGAAAGGGAAACGUUUGAAGUCAGUCGCGUUGGUUGGGGAUCAGCCUGACAUUGUUGGGUUUACUUCCUGGUCGACGGGCCAACAUCAGUUUUGACUGCCAGAAAAAGGCCAAAGGAAUGUGGCACCUUUGGGUGUGUUAUAGCCCUUGGUCGUAUAUGGUGGUUGGGACUGAGGAAAGCAGCGUGCCGAAAGGCCGGGUUUCGACCACGUUCACGCUGAGGAUGUUGGCAUAAUGGCUUUAAGCGACCCGUCUUGAAACACGGACCAAGGAGUCUAACAUGCAUGCGAGUGUUUGGGUGGAAAACCCUUACGCGUAAUGAAAGUGAAAGUUGAGAUCCCUGUCGCGGGGAGCAUCGACGCCCGGACCAGAACUUUUGGGACRGAUCUGCGGUAGAGCACGUAUGUUGGGACCCGAAAGAUGGUGAACUAUGCCUGAAUAGGGUGAAGCCAGAGGAAACUCUGGUGGAGGCUCGUAGCGAUUCUGACGUGCAAAUCGAUCGUCAAAUUUGGGUAUAGGGGCGAAAGAU
RNAcentral lists this ribosomal RNA (879 nucleotides) under Amanita rubescens. Its description in RNAcentral is "eukaryotic LSU rRNA". It matches the Rfam family "Eukaryotic large subunit ribosomal RNA", at positions 65 to 931 of the family's 3401-position model. The record is from RNAcentral. Lineage: Eukaryota; Fungi; Basidiomycota; Agaricomycetes; Agaricales; Amanitaceae.